GGGCCCGCACAAGCGGCGGAGCAUGCGGAUUAAUUCGAUGCAACGCGAAGAACCUUACCAAGGCUUGACAUGGGCAGUAAUCCGGCAGAGACGUCGGGUCCGCAAGGGCUGUUCACAGGUGGUGCAUGGCUGUCGUCAGCUCGUGUCGUGAGAUGUUGGGUUAAGUCCCGCAACGAGCGCAACCCUUGUCUCAUGUUGCCAGCACGUUAUGGUGGGGACUCGUAAGAGACUGCCGGGGUCAACUCGGAGGAAGGUGGGGACGACGUCAAGUCAUCAUGCCCCUUAUGUCCAGGGCUUCACACAUGCUACAAUGGCCGGUACAAAGGGCUGCGAGACCGUGAGGUGGAGCGAAUCCCAAAAAGCCGGUCUCAGUUCGGAUUGGGGUCUGCAACUCGACCCCAUGAAGUCGGAGUCGCUAGUAAUCGCAGA
This 429-nucleotide ribosomal RNA is filed under the name uncultured Actinomycetes bacterium. RNAcentral's name for it is "bacterial SSU rRNA". It matches the Rfam family "Bacterial small subunit ribosomal RNA", at positions 917 to 1348 of the family's 1533-position model. Lineage: Bacteria; Bacillati; Actinomycetota; Actinomycetes. The record is from RNAcentral.